AUUGAACACUGGCGGCAGGCCUAACACAUGCAAGUCGAGCGGAUGAAGGGAGCUUGCUCCUGGAUUCAGCGGCGGACGGGUGAGUAAUGCCUAGGAAUCUGCCUGGUAGUGGGGGAUAACGUCCGGAAACGGGCGCUAAUACCGCAUACGUCCUGAGGGAGAAAGUGGGGGAUCUUCGGACCUCACGCUAUCAGAUGAGCCUAGGUCGGAUUAGCUAGUUGGUGGGGUAAAGGCCUACCAAGGCGACGAUCCGUAACUGGUCUGAGAGGAUGAUCAGUCACACUGGAACUGAGACACGGUCCAGACUCCUACGGGAGGCAGCAGUGGGGAAUAUUGGACGAUGGGCGAAAGCCUGAUCCAGCCAUGCCGCGUGUGUGAAGAAGGUCUUCGGAUUGAAAAGCACUUUAAGUUGGGAGGAAGGGCAGUAAGUUAAUACCUUGCUGUUUUGACGUUACCAACAGAAUAAGCACCGGCUAACUUCGUG
RNAcentral lists this ribosomal RNA (484 nucleotides) under uncultured bacterium. Its description in RNAcentral is "partial 16S ribosomal RNA". It matches the Rfam family "Bacterial small subunit ribosomal RNA", at positions 30 to 507 of the family's 1533-position model. The record is from RNAcentral.